Molecule: ribosomal RNA, 497 nt
Filed under: uncultured soil bacterium
Lineage: Bacteria
Description: bacterial SSU rRNA
Rfam family: Bacterial small subunit ribosomal RNA
Source: RNAcentral
GCGAACGGGUGAGUAACACGUGGGCAACCUGCCCUAGGGAGCGGGACAACUCGAGGAAACUCGAGCUAAUACCGCAUGAGUCGGCCAGAAGAAAAGGUACGCCCUAGGAUGGGCCCGCGGCCGAUUAGCUAGUUGGUGUGGUAACGGCUCACCAAGGCGACGAUCGGUAGCUGGUCUGAGAGGACGAUCAGCCACACUGGGACUGAGACACGGCCCAGACUCCUACGGGAGGCAGCAGUGGGGAAUCUUGCGCAAUGGGCGAAAGCCUGACGCAGCAACGCCGCGUGGGGGAAGAAGGCCCUCGGGUUGUAAACCUCUUUCAGGAGGGACGAAUGACGGUACCUUCAGAAGAAGCCCCGGCUAACUACGUGCCAGCAGCCGCGGUAAUACGUAGGGGGCAAGCGUUGUCCGGAAUUAUUGGGCGUAAAGCGCGUGUAGGCGGCUUGGUAAGUCUGAUGUGAAACCUUGGGGCUUAACCCCAAGCCUGCACUGGAUAC